Molecule: ribosomal RNA, 500 nt
Filed under: uncultured bacterium
Lineage: Bacteria
Description: partial 16S ribosomal RNA
Rfam family: Bacterial small subunit ribosomal RNA
Source: RNAcentral
AUUGAACGCUGGCGGCAUGCCUUACACAUGCAAGUCGAACGGAUUCAAGAGGCUUGCUUCUUGAGUUAGUGGCGAACGGGUGAGUAAAGUAUCGGAACGUACCCAGUUGUGGGGGAUAACGUAGCGAAAGUUACGCUAAUACCGCAUACGCACUGAGGUGGAAAGCGGGGGACCGAAAGGCCUCGCGCAAUUGGAGCGGCCGAUGUCGGAUUAGCUAGUUGGUGAGGUAAAGGCUCACCAAGGCGACGAUCCGUAGCUGGUCUGAGAGGACGACCAGCCACACUGGAACUGAGACACGGUCCAGACUCCUACGGGAGGCAGCAGUGGGGAAUUUUGGACAAGGGGCGAAAGCCUGAUCCAGCCAUGCCGCGUGAGUGAAGAAGGCCUUCGGGUUGUAAAGCUCUUUCAGACGGAAAGAAAUCUUUCGGGUGAAUAUCCCGGAAGGAUGACGGUACCGUAAGAAGAAGCACCGGCUAACUACGUGCCAGCCGCCGCAGUAA